Long non-coding RNA from Fukomys damarensis (Damara mole-rat), 3865 nucleotides. RefSeq lists it as uncharacterized. The transcript is spliced from 3 exons. The record is from RefSeq and is a predicted model, not a curated record. Lineage: Eukaryota; Metazoa; Chordata; Mammalia; Rodentia; Bathyergidae.
CACUGGAAUUGAAAUGCAUACAGUUUGUCAGACAGAAAUAUGGGUGUGCUGCAGGAUCUUAGAGUCACUGGAUAGUGAUGGUGCUCAGUCUGUGUUCGGAGCUACGUGGAAGGGGCUGCUGAUUUAGUGGGAAACGGAGGUGCGAAGGGUCUGUCUCAGCCCACGCCGGCUUCAGCAACCCCUUUUAAAAUCUGUUUUCUAAUGCUCUGUCCCUCCAAGAAAGUGGAGAGGCGAGGCCCAGAGAGGAAAACAAAAUUUUCCAGCAUGACAGUAACAGCUGCGCACUGACAGCAGAACAAGGAUACUGCUUCCGGGCUUCCCAUUCCCACCAGGACCCUUCCCCCUAGAGGGUGGCUCGCUCUUGCUUGCCUGCAUUUGGGUCAGGUUGACCCUGGAAGAUGCUUUGGUGAUGCCCAGUGCCUAUGAACGGAGUUCCAGCCCAAGUAUCUUCCUCGUGGUGACAUCCAGUGUGUCCUUCAUCCAAGGACAGUGCUAGAAGACAAAAGAGUGCGGACAGUGACAGCUGUUCUGGAAGGCUCGACUGAGCGCUGGUCCAGCCCUGUAGGAAACAUGCACACAUCAACUCACUCUCUGUCCUGUCACAGCUAUGAAGGAGAUUCCACGACCACCUCCAGGCUGAAAGCAAAUCCACGUACCCCCCCAGACUCGAAGCCAAGUGAAGGCCCUGGUUAACCUACAGAUGAGCUUGUUACCCACUCCAUUUUGCUUCCUUUCUGUGUGGACAGACUUUUCCUAGAGGUGGACUAUUUCUAGGAAUAGCUGAACCCAGGAUGAGUCAACACUUCCUUCCAGAGACUACACGGCAUUCCAGAGAGCUGAGCACAGGAGUCUUGGCUUAUAUACAGAAAAUGACUGAAGAAAGCAAAAUCGAAAAGUAGAUUGGUCACUUCCAUUUUUUUCCUUGUUGGGUUGGGACAGAAUAAUAGAAAACUAACUGACUGGUUAACAUCAAGCUACUUCGGGCAGCUUUUCCUGGUACAUUUAAUGUAAGAGGAAAUGUCAGUAUCAUGCCAGUUAAAACUGAUGUGUCUGGGAGAUGCGGUUGUUCUCCAUAUAAUUCUGAUUUCUACGACAGCCACAUACAGUUUUUAGGUUCCGCUUGGUGAAACAGCUUAGUUUAGCAUGAGUGACUCCAUUUUGAUUUUUAGUGUGGCAUCUUGGGGCCCAGUCCAAAAUAAUUACCUUCUGUAAUUUUUAUUUAACAACAUCCAGACACAGUUUUUGUAUCAUAGAGUACACGAAUUGCACACACUGUAAUCCCACCAUUCAGGAGGCAGAUGCAGGAGGGUCACUAUGAGUUCAAGGCCAGCCUUAGCUACAUAGUGAGAUCUUGUCUCAAAAAGCCAAAAUAAAAAGUUUUAGGUAAGUAUUUUCCCAUCAGCUUUCAGAGCUGCCCCUACUCCAUGUCCUUCCAAAAAUCUUGGCUUGUUAGAUUUUUAAAAUUUUGUCAGUUAGAUGAGUGUGAAGUGGUAUAAAUAUAUUUUAACUCUUCUUAAUGAAAAAUUCCAAGCAUUUAUACAAUAGUGAGAAUAAUAUAAUGAAUUUCUACAUCUCUGUCAUAUAAUUCACCAAUUAUCAAUGCUUACUGAUUUUGUUCCUGUAUAACCUUACCAUUAUUUUGAACCUUUUCAGUAUAUAUUUUUAAAAGAUGAGAAUCCUCCCUUGCUUUUUUUGUUAUUAUUAGAGAUCAAACCCAGAGCUCCAAACAUGUUGAACAUCUGUGCUCACCACGGAGCUACAUCCAGCCUGAUUCUCCUUUUUAAACCUAACUACAAUACAUCAUCAAAGACUCCCGAAUGUCAGGAAUAAAUUUGUAAAUAUUAUCAAAUAUUCAAGUAGUAUUCACAUUGUCUCAAUUACCCUACUUCAUUAUUUUUAUACUUGAUUGAAUUAUAAUUGUGAUUGGUUAAUAUUUAUCUUAAAUUUCUUCUAACCCAUAAAUACCGCUUCCAUUUCUCCCCCACCCCCCAUCUCGAAAUUCAUUAGUUAAGUAAAUCAGGUUAUUUUCCUGGCAGUAUUCUCCCAGUUUGGAUUUUACUUGUUAUUGUCCCCAUGGUGUCCUUUUGCCUGUUCCUCAGUUCCUAUAAAUGUGUAGUCAGAUCGGGAAUAGGGGUUUGGCAAAUCAUGCAUCAUAGCUUCACUGUUUUUUGUGUUGUUUGGUUUGUUUUGAAAUGAGAUUUUGCUAGAACACAGUCAUGCCCAUUUGUUUCACUUUUGUUUAGGACUGAAUUGUUGCAGUAGAGACUGCAUAACAGCAAAGCCUAAAGUACCUGGCCCUUUCGGUGAUUUUGUAGUUCUUUGUUUUUGUUUUUGUUUUUCUUUUUUAGUCAAUCCAUUCUUUUUCUGGAGUGGGGGGGAUGCUUGCUAGAGAGCUUGGUUGCCAGAGGCACUGUUUUUACUGGAAAGACAGAAUAAAUACUUGAUUGUUUCUCUUUCACUUACCAGUUUUCAAAAUACCCAAUUGAUUUCCUUCUAAAGUAGAUCACUGAGGUUGUGUAUGUAAAUGAACCUAAGGAUUUGAAUAUAUUUGAUGAUUUUCAUCCUACUGAAAUUAUUUUCUUUACUGGUGCUCAGAUUGUUGACUUUGGCCAACGAGAGUCUCUUCAGGUCCCUCUGACACAAUUCUGUCCUAGAUUUGUGGCUAUGGAAAAUAGUACAUUUUCAGCCCCAAAGCCCAAUGAGCUGUUCAUUUUUCAAGGAAAAUAAUACUGAGAGCCACUCAUAGUGCACUCUGCUCACUAAAGGUCUGGCCUUUGUUUAUAGACCCGGAAAGAAGUGACAGAAAGAAUAGGCAUGGUUAUCUGGUCGCUCUUCGGAUCAGCUACCUUAAAAAUUCAUACUACAACUUCUGAUUGAAAUCUGGGAUUAAGGGUUGGGGUGCAGCUCAGUGGUAAAGUACUUGCUCAUCCCUACAGAAAAAAAAUCCAGCAUUAUUUUUUAUCGGUACGUUUUAGAUACACAUCAUGAUCACAUUCAUCAUAGGGAAUUUGUACUUGUACGUGACAUAUCCCACUUCUUUUAUUCCCAUGCCCCUCCCCUCCCUUCCACCACUCCUUAUUUACAAGAGCUUUGUUUCCAAGAAAUCCAGAACUGUAAGGUUUUUGUGUAACUCCUUUCCUGUUUUAUCUGCAAACCCUUCAUCCCCAAAGUCCUGAUCUAAAACAAUACCCGCGUCACUGCUGUGCUUUAUCCCAUGCCAUUCACCACCCGUCUCAGAAUAACAAGGGCAAACCUACGAGGAGCGAUACAGUGACCAGAAACAGCCAGCUGUUUUUUUACAAUCCAAGGAAAAAAACCUCUGAAAGUGAAGGUGGGAAGGGAUUGAGCCACCAGGGUCUGCUGACAAUUUGCACUGCUGCUAAAACUGUAAAUACUGCAUUCUGUCGGUCGAGAUUUUGUUCUUCCUUGUAGUAAACUCCUAGGAUCAUAGCCCUUGCUCUCUGAGUGCUUACAUGGGCCCAGAGUGGAGGAGGUAUGGGGUCACAGCAGUGUGGGCUGGCAGAAUUCAGUUUCUCCCCCUAAUAUAUGAGGGUAAGGGCAGGAAGGAGAACAUUACAGAAAGGAGUCUUGGGCAAGUUAAGUCACCUCCCUGAAUGACUUCCUUCUGUAUUAAAAAAGGGAGUACAGGGAUUUUGUGGUGUGGAUUUUGGCCACAGCAGCUUACUCUGUGUUUUCCGAACACAUCUGCCCCUGGGCCCUUUCUCUUGGUCCAGCUUUUCGAUCAUUGUAGAUCACCUUCCCAAUCACCUCCAUGAAGUGGGCCUGCCUGACCACAUAAGCAAAAAUAUUCAUAUCUCGGGCCAGGGAUUUAGCUCAGUGGUUCCACCACCUGCCUCUCAAGUAC